GUUAAGAGAAAUUAUAGGGAUACCUUUUGAUGAUAGAUUAAUUAUAGGAGAUUUCAGAAUUAUCAUGGCUUUAUUAUAGGAGAUUUUUGUUUUAUGGUAGCUUUAUUAUAGGAGAUUUACAUUAUGAAUCUGCUACAAAAUUUGCUGAUCGCCUUGAGGAUUGGGAUAGCAAAAGUCACCAGAUCAUCACUUGGCUGCGCAACACAUCUGUACCGUCUAUUCAUAUUCAGUUUGAUAACUAUGAUUCUGCAAAAGAAAUUUGGGAUUUCUUGGAAAACCGCUAUCAGACCACUGGACUUGCUCACUAUUAUCAGUUGUGGACCACACUUCUCAAUAUCAAGCAAGAACCUGGUCAAUCAGUGAAUGAUUUUCUUGCUAAAGUCCAACCAAUUUGGCAUCAAAUAUCUCUGGCCAAAAUCAAUGAAGACCAUCUUCAUCUCAUUCAAGUUCUCAUGGCUCUUCGACCUGAAUAUGAAGCCGUAAGAGCCUCACUGUUGCAUCGAAAUCCGCUUCCAUCGUUGGAUACUGCUAUUCAAGAAAUCAUUUUUGAAGAAACCCGUCUGAAUCUAGACAAAACUCCUCAAAUGGAUGCUGCUCUUGCAACUACUCGAUUCUCACACAAGAAAUCGAAUCAUCAUCCAUGUAAGAAUUGCAAUCGUACUGGUCAUGUAUUUGCUAAUUGUCCUACUAUAGAGGGUAGGUACUGUCACGGUAUUAGCCAUAUUAUUGAAAAUUGUCCCACGCGACCUCCAAAACAAAAUCGUGGCUUUACCAAAUCCAAGAAUGUUCCAAAGUCUGGAUCUUCUUCUAUCUUUGCUGCUACCACUGAGGGUUCGGCUUCCAUUACUAUGAGUGACAUUGAAGCUUUAAUCAAACAGGUUAUAUCUUCCAACACCUCUACUGCCAUGUCUGCUACUCACGGUAAUUCUCGUUGGUUUUUUGAUUCUGCGUGUUGUAAUCAUAUGACGACUGAUAUUAAAUCAUUGCCUUCUGCGACACUUGUUUCUUCUUUGCCACCAAUCCACACAGCUAGUGGCAAUACAAUGAACAUCACUCAUACCGGUCAUGUAUCCACCUCAAAUCUCACCCUGCCUGACACAUAUUACAUUCCUAACUUGACACUUAAUCUUAUUUUUGUUGGUCAAUUGUGUGAACAAGGACUGAAUGUUUAUUUUUCAACAUCUGGUGUUCAGGUACAGGAUCCACAGACGAAGCAGAUCAUUGGGAUGGGUCGCAGGGUGGGUCGGUUAUUUGAGCUCCAAUCUCUCCACCUUCCUAAAGAUCAUAUCUUUGCUGCUACUGUGAACUCCCCCAUUCAUCAAUGGCAUCUUCGACUUGGUCACGCCUCAGCAAGCAAAAUUCAACCUCUUAUCUCUCGUGGGUUAUUAGGAUCCACAAAGUUUGAGUCUUUUGAUUGUUUACAUUGCAAACUUGGCAAACAGUUGGCUUUAUCCUUUAAUCGUAUUGUUUCUAUUUCAAAUAGUCCUUUUGAUUUGAUCCAUUCAGACAUUUGGGGGCCUUCUCCUGUUUCUUCAAUAAAUGGCUUUCGUUAUUUUGUAUUGUUUAUUGACGAUUUUUCUCGUUUUACAUGGAUAUAUUUUCUGAAAAAUCGCUCUGAAUUACCACAAAUUUAUAUUUCUUUUGCUCGUAUGGUUAAAACACAAUUUUCUUGUGCUAUUAAGAUUCUACGCACAGACAAUGCGAUGGAAUAUCGUGAUUCUUCCUUGCUUCAGUUUCUCAGUCAACAAGGCACGACGGUUCAACGCUCAUGUCCUCACACCUCCCAACAAAAUGGUCGAGCUGAACGAAAACAUCGUCACAUCCUUGACUCAGUUCGUGCCCUUCUCCUCUCAGCCUCGUGUCCAGAAAAGUUUUGGGGGGAAGCAACUCUUAAUGUUGUCUAUACAAUUAAUUUACUUCCCACCAUAAAUCUUCAAAACUUAUCUCCUUUUGAAAAACUGUUUGGUAAGUCUCCUGAAUAUUCCAUUCUUAAACCUUUUGGAUAUGCUUGUUUUGUUCUCUUGCAGCCUCAUGAGCGCACAAAAUUACAACCGCGCGCUCGCUUGUGUUGCUUUCUUGGUUAUGACAUGGAACACAAAGGAUAUCGUUGUUGGGAUCCAAUCUCCAACAGAUUACGCAUCUCACGUCAUGUUACUUUUUAGGAAAACACCAUGUUCUCCUCUCUUUCUACAUUUCAUCAUUCUCUUAGCACUGAAUCAUUUUAUUUCACUAAUCCCUCAGUUGAGUUGUUUCCAAGUUCUAAUGAGGAUAACUCUGAUGGGCUCAAUAUUCGUCCACCCUCACCUGCUCCUACUGAACCUGUUUCGGAUGUUGAUAUUGUACCUGCAACUCGUCAUUCCACCCGAGUAAGUAAUCCACCCACUCAUCUUAAUGAUUACCAUUGUUAUUCUGCUAUUAAAAUUCUUCAUGAGCCUUCUUCUUAUCGAGAAGCGAGUACUGACCCCAUUUGGCAGCAAGCUAUGGCUGAAGAAAUUCAAGCUUUAGAAAAGACACAUACUUGGGACAUAGUUGAUCUUCCUCCAGACAAGAUUCCUAUUGGAUGCAAAUGGAUCUACAAAAUUAAAACUCGUUCUGAUGGAAGUGUAGAGCGUUAUAAAGCUCGCCUAUUAGCCAAAGGGUACACUCAAGAGUAUGGGAUAGACUACGAAGAGACAUUUGCUCCGGUAGCUCGAAUAACAUCUGUUCGUAGUCUCUUGGCCAUUGCUGCAGUUCGUCAAUGGAAGCUUUUUCAGAUGGAUGUCAAAAAUGCCUUCCUUCACGGUGAUUUAACAGAGGAAGUAUAUAUGCACCCUCCUCUAGGUUAUCACUCUCCUCAUAAGGUCUGUAAGCUUCAGAAAGCCUUAUAUGGUUUGAAACAAGCUCCUAGAGCCUGGUUUGCCAAGUUCAAUUCUACUCUAACACAAUUUGGUUUUCUCUCUAGUCCACAUGAUUCUGCUUUAUUCACUCGAAGAAGUGAUAGUGGUAUUGUAAUUCUGCUUCUUUAUGUAGAUGAUAUGAUCAUAACUGAAGAUGACAAGUCUGGAAUGAAAGACCUUGGCUAUCUUAGUUAUUUUUUUGGGCUUGAAGUUUCCCAAGACUCAGAAGGCUAUUAUCUCUCCCAGGCCAAGUAUGCCUCUGACUUGCUUUCUCAUGCAGGCAUCACAGACUGCAAGACUGAAUUGACACCAUUGGAAGUAAACUGCAAACUCACACCACUUGACGACACUCCUCUUGAAGAUGUCACCAUGUAUCGACAACUUGUUGGUAGUCUUGUUUACCUGACUGUUACUCACCCUGAUAUUCCAUAUGUUGUCCAUAAAGUCAGUCAAUUUAUGGCCGCUCCUCGGUCAUCUCAUUUCUCUGCAGUUCUUCGUAUUAUCUGCUAUGUUAAAGGUACUCUUUUUCAUGGUUUACGCUUCUCUGCUAAUUCAUCCUUGGUCCUAUCUGCAUACUCUGAUGCGGAUUGGGCAGGUGACCCAACAGAUCGUCGCUCAACAACAGGGUAUUGUUUCUUCUUAGGAAGUUCUCUUCUUUCCUGGCGUAGCAAAAAGCAAACAGUUGUUGCUCGUUCAAGCACAGAAUCUAAAUAUCGUGCUCUUGUUGAUGCUACUUCUGAGUUACUUUGGUUACGAUGGUUGUUAAACGAUAUGGGUGUUACACAAUCUUCUGCCACUUUACUUCAUUGUGAUAAUAGAAGUGCAAUCCAGAUUUCCCAUAAUGAUGUUUUUCAUGAGCGCACAAAACACAUUGAAAUUGAUUGUCACCUUGUACGCCAUCAUGUUACUAAUGGCACCAUACAAUUGAUUUUCAUUCCUUCUGAAGAACAACCUGCUGAUAUCUUCACCAAAACACAUCAUCUGGCACGCUUCAAAGAUUUAUCAAGCAAACUCCAUUUGGCAUCCACAGUACCAACUAGAGUUUGAGGGAGGGUGUUAAGAGAAAUUAUAGGGAUACCUUUUGAUGAUAGAUUAAUUAUAGGAGAUUUCAGAAUUACCAUGGCUUUAUUAUAGGAGAUUUCUGUUUUAUGGUAGCUUUAUUAUAGGAGAUUUACAUUGCCAAAUUAGCUAUUGCUGAGAUGUAUAUAUCCCCAUAUUGUAUUCUUGUAAAGUCAAGCAAAACAGAAGCACUGUCUAUUUGACAGUAUUUUCCAAUUCCACUAUCUGUUAACAAU
RNAcentral lists this long non-coding RNA (4171 nucleotides) under Medicago truncatula (barrel medic). Its description in RNAcentral is "long non-coding RNA (MTRU_LNC001588)". The record is from RNAcentral. Lineage: Eukaryota; Viridiplantae; Streptophyta; Magnoliopsida; Fabales; Fabaceae.